Molecule: long non-coding RNA, 574 nt
Filed under: Hordeum vulgare
Lineage: Eukaryota; Viridiplantae; Streptophyta; Magnoliopsida; Poales; Poaceae
Description: long non-coding RNA (HVUL_LNC013205)
Source: RNAcentral
AUGAACUGGUCGAGCGUCUCCUUCCUGUCCUCGAGGGACUUGCAGACCUUGGCGUCCUGGAGGCAGCCCUUGAUCCUGUUCCAGUUCUUGUCGUCCUCCAGCCGCCGCUGCAGCCAGGUUGAGUAGUCCCCGAGCCUGUACUCCUUGAAUCCGCGGCCGGAGACGGCCUCGCCGGUGCCCUUGUGCGUGACGACGAAGGCGAAGACGGUGAAGCCGAGGAGGACGACGAUGAGCAGGAACAUGGCGACGAGGUAGAACCAGAGGAGGCACGUGACGCGGCAGCAGGCGCCGACGAGCCCCGCGACAGAUACGAGCAUGAGGAAGACCCCCAGCACGAUGAACGGCGCCGCCAGGUAGCGCUCGCACUCGGUGCCGUCGGCCCGCGCCCGCAGCCAGAUGCCGCCCGCCAGGAUCGGCACCGACAGCAGGAACGUCACCGCGUUCAGGAUCCCGAUCACCGUGUUGCUCAGCCGCACCAUCCUGGGCGCCGGCGGCGUGGGUGUCUCGCGGUUUCUUGGAGGGGAGGGGCUGGGUGGCGGUUCCUCGGUUGGCGCAGGCGGUUUUCCCUUUCGAA